UAAGCAUGUAGGCUGGUUAUCCAGGCAAAUCCGGAUAAUCAAGGCUGAGGUGUGAUGACGAGGCACUACGGUGCUGAAGUAACAAAUGCCCUGCUUCCAGGAAAAGCCUCUAAGCAUCAGGUAACACGAAAUCGUACCCCAAACCGACACAGGUGGUCAGGUAGAGAAUACCAAGGCGCUUGAGAGAACUCGGGUGAAGGAACUAGGCAAAAUGGUGCCGUAACUUCGGGAGAAGGCACGCUGAUAUGUAGGUGAAGUCCCUGCGGACGGAGCUGAAAUCAGUCGAAGAUACCAGCUGGCUGCAACUGUUUAUUAAAAACACAGCACUGUGCAAACACGAAAGUGGACGUAUACGGUGUGACGCCUGCCCGGUGCCGGAAGGUUAAUUGAUGGGGUUAUCCGUAAGGAGAAGCUCUUGAUCGAAGCCCCGGUAAACGGCGGCCGUAACUAUAACGGUCCUAAGGUAGCGAAAUUCCUUGUCGGGUAAGUUCCGACCUGCACGAAUGGCGUAAUGAUGGCCAGGCUGUCUCCACCCGAGACUCAGUGAAAUUGAACUCGCUGUGAAGAUGCAGUGUACCCGCGGCAAGACGGAAAGACCCCGUGAACCUUUACUAUAGCUUGACACUGAACAUUGAGCCUUGAUGUGUAGGAUAGGUGGGAGGCUUUGAAGCGUGGACGCCAGUCUGCGUGGAGCCAACCUUGAAAUACCACCCUUUAAUGUUUGAUGUUCUAACGUUGGCCCCUUACCGGGGUUGCGGACAGUGUCUGGUGGGUAGUUUGACUGGGGCGGUCUCCUCCCAAAGCGUAACGGAGGAGCACGAAGGUUAGCUAAUCCUGGUCGGACAUCAGGAGGUUAGUGCAAUGGCAUAAGCUAGCUUGACUGCGAGCGUGACGGCGCGAGCAGGUGCGAAAGCAGGUCAUAGUGAUCCGGUGGUUCUGAAUGGAAGGGCCAUCGCUCAACGGAUAAAAGGUACUCCGGGGAUAACAGGCUGAUACCGCCCAAGAGUUCAUAUCGACGGCGGUGUUUGGCACCUCGAUGUCGGCUCAUCACAUCCUGGGGCUGAAGUAGGUCCCAAGGGUAUGGCUGUUCGCCAUUUAAAGUGGUACGCGAGCUGGGUUUAGAACGUCGUGAGACAGUUCGGUCCCUAUCUGCCGUGGGCGCUGGAGAAUUGAGGGGGGCUGCUCCUAGUACGAGAGGACCGGAGUGGACGCAUCACUGGUGUUCGGGUUGUCAUGCCAAUGGCACUGCCCGGUAGCUAAAUGCGGAAGAGAUAAGUGCUGAAAGCAUCUAAGCACGAAACUUGCCCCGAGAUGAGUUCUCCCUGACUCCUUGAGAGUCCUGAAGGAACGUUGAAGACGACGACGUUGAUAGGCCGGGUGUGUAAGCGCAGCGAUGCGUUGAGCUAACCGGUACUAAUGAACCGUGAGGCUUAACC
RNAcentral lists this ribosomal RNA (1436 nucleotides) under freshwater metagenome. Its description in RNAcentral is "bacterial LSU rRNA". It matches the Rfam family "Bacterial large subunit ribosomal RNA", at positions 1513 to 2925 of the family's 2925-position model. The record is from RNAcentral.